Molecule: ribosomal RNA, 699 nt
Filed under: Cervidellus cf. capraeolus CR-2010
Lineage: Eukaryota; Metazoa; Nematoda; Chromadorea; Rhabditida; Cephalobidae
Description: eukaryotic LSU rRNA
Rfam family: Eukaryotic large subunit ribosomal RNA
Source: RNAcentral
GAGAGUUCAAGAGGACGUGAAACCGGUAGGAUGGAAACGGAUAGAGCCAAUGAACAAGCCCGCUAUUCAGCUAGGUCGGCUGCGUGCGGCCUAGCCAUUACUCCCCGAUUGGGGGUNUGGUUGGGUGCGGUAUGCGGUUGGCUAGUGCAUUUGCGGGUGAUGUGCGCUGAGGCGUGUGAUGGAGCCCUUUGAACCGUCUUUAGAGGCCUUAGCUUCGGCUUUGAAACCUGAAGGCGGGUAGAAGUGGUUUUUGUUGCACGUAGAUAAUGCGGUCAGGUUUCUCGCGCUGCCGUGUUGUGGAGGCUAGCCCUUUGGUCGGUCGCAUGCGACAUGGCCUUAUGNGUCGGUCCCCGCAAUGCGUGAGUGCCCUGAUUGAGCCUCGGUGUAAAAGUUGGUCAUCUCUCCGACCCGUCUUGAAACACGGACCAAGGAGUCUAGCGUAUACGCGAGUCAUUGGGUGGUAAACCCAUAGGCGAAAUGAAAGUGAAGGUUCAGCAAUGGACUGAUAUGCGAUCCGGUGUCCGAAAGGCAUCGGCGCAGCAUAGCCCCGUCUUAACUGCUUGCAGUAGGGCGGAGGUAGAGCGUAUUCGCUGGUACCCGAAAGAUGGUGAACUAUGCCUGAGCAGGAUGAAGCCAGAGGAAACUCUGGUGGAGGUCCGAAGCGCUUCUGACGUGCAAAUCGAUCGUCUGACUUGGGUA